RNAcentral lists this ribosomal RNA (241 nucleotides) under uncultured Staphylococcus sp. Its description in RNAcentral is "partial 16S ribosomal RNA". It matches the Rfam family "Bacterial small subunit ribosomal RNA", at positions 99 to 334 of the family's 1533-position model. The record is from RNAcentral. Lineage: Bacteria; Bacillati; Bacillota; Bacilli; Caryophanales; Staphylococcaceae.
CGGACGGGUGAGUAACACGUGGAUAACCUACCUAUAAGACUGGGAUAACUUCGGGAAACCGGAGCUAAUACCGGAUAAUAUUUUGAACCGCAUGGUUCAAAAGUGAAAGACGGUCUUGCUGUCACUUAUAGAUGGAUCCGCGCUGCAUUAGCUAGUUGGUAAGGUAACGGCUUACCAAGGCAACGAUGCAUAGCCGACCUGAGAGGGUGAUCGGCCACACUGGAACUGGGACACGGUCCAG